AACAAACGCUGGCGGCGUGCCUAACACAUGCAAGUCGUACGAGAAAGGGUCCUUCGGGAUCUGAGUAAAGUGGCGCACGGGUGAGUAACGCGUGGAUAAUCUACCCUUCAGUUGGGAACAACUCAUCGAAAGGUGGGCUAAUACCGAAUAACACUGCAAGACUUUGGUCGAGCAGUCAAAGAGAGCCUCUGCUUGCAAGCCCUCGCUGAAGGAUGAGUCCGCGUACCAUUAGCUAGUUGGUGGGGUAAUGGCCCACCAAGGCCGUGAUGGUUAGCUGGUCUGAGAGGAUGGCCAGCCACACUGGAACUGAGAUACGGUCCAGACUCCUACGGGAGGCUG
Molecule: ribosomal RNA, 339 nt
Filed under: uncultured Pseudomonadota bacterium
Lineage: Bacteria; Pseudomonadati; Pseudomonadota
Description: bacterial SSU rRNA
Rfam family: Bacterial small subunit ribosomal RNA
Source: RNAcentral